UACGAAGGGGGCUAGCGUUGCUCGGAAUCACUGGGCGUAAAGGGUGCGCAGGCGGGUUUUUAAGUCAGAGGGGAAAUCCUGGAGCUCAACUCCAGAACUGCCUUUGAUACUGAAAGUCUUGAGUAUGGGAGAGGUGAGUGGAACUGCGAGUGUAGAGGUGAAAUUCGUAGAUAUUCGCAAGAACACCAGUGGCGAAGGCGGCUCACUGGCCCAUAACUGACGCUGAGGCACGAAAGCGUGGGGAGCAAACAGG
RNAcentral lists this ribosomal RNA (253 nucleotides) under uncultured bacterium. Its description in RNAcentral is "partial 16S ribosomal RNA". It matches the Rfam family "Bacterial small subunit ribosomal RNA", at positions 524 to 776 of the family's 1533-position model. The record is from RNAcentral.